RNAcentral lists this ribosomal RNA (156 nucleotides) under Malassezia globosa. RNAcentral describes it as "5.8S ribosomal RNA". It matches the Rfam family "5.8S ribosomal RNA". Rfam says of the family: 5.8S ribosomal RNA (5.8S rRNA) is a component of the large subunit of the eukaryotic ribosome. It is transcribed by RNA polymerase I as part of the 45S precursor that also contains 18S and 28S rRNA. Functionally, it is thought that 5.8S rRNA may be involved in ribosome translocation. RNAcentral also lists the same sequence under 2 other names. Lineage: Eukaryota; Fungi; Basidiomycota; Malasseziomycetes; Malasseziales; Malasseziaceae. The record is from RNAcentral.
CAACUUUCGACAACGGAUCUCUUGGUUCUCCCAUCGAUGAAGAACGCAGCGAAACGCGAUAGGUAAUGUGAAUUGCAGAAUUCCGUGAAUCAUCGAAUCUUUGAACGCACCUUGCGCUCUAUGGUAUUCCGUAGAGCAUGCCUGUUUGAGUGCCGU